GCCGCCAUAACUCAGUUGGUAGAGUGUCUGGCUGUUAAUUGUUCAGAGCAGCAACCAGAAUGUCACAGGUUCGAGCCCUGUUGGCGGCGC
This 90-nucleotide transfer RNA is filed under the name uncultured archaeon. RNAcentral describes it as "tRNA-Leu(taa)". It matches the Rfam family "tRNA". Rfam says of the family: Transfer RNA (tRNA) molecules are approximately 80 nucleotides in length. The record is from RNAcentral.